AGCGAACGCUGGCGGCAGGCCUAACACAUGCAAGUCGAACGGAUCCUUCGGGAUUAGUGUCGGACGGGUGAGUAACACGUGGGAACGUGCCCUUUGGUUCGGAACAACUCAGGGAAACUUGAGCUAAUACCGGAUGUGCCCUUCGGGGGAAAGAUUUAUCGCCAUUGGAGCGGCCCGCGUCUGAUUAGCUAGUUGGUGAGGUAACGGCCCACCAAGGCGACGAUCAGUAGCUGGUCUGAGAGGAUGAUCAGCCACACUGGGACUGAGACACGGCCCAGACUCCUACGGGAGGCAGCAGUGGGGAAUCUUGCGCAAUGGGCGAAAGCCUGACGCAGCCAGGCCGCGUGAAUGAUGAAGGUCUUAGGAUUGUGAAAUUCUUUCAGCGGGGACGAUAAUGACGGUACCCGCAGAAGAAGCUCCGGCUAACUUCGUG
Molecule: ribosomal RNA, 433 nt
Filed under: uncultured bacterium
Lineage: Bacteria
Description: partial 16S ribosomal RNA
Rfam family: Bacterial small subunit ribosomal RNA
Source: RNAcentral